This 471-nucleotide ribosomal RNA is filed under the name uncultured bacterium. RNAcentral describes it as "partial 16S ribosomal RNA". It matches the Rfam family "Bacterial small subunit ribosomal RNA", at positions 28 to 523 of the family's 1533-position model. The record is from RNAcentral.
GACGAACGCUGGCGGUGUGCUUCAUACAUGCAAGUCGAACGAUAAGGUCCUUCGGGAUACAUAAGUGGCGGACGGGUGAGUAACACGUAGAAAAUCUGCCUCAAGGAAGGGGACAACAGUUGGAAACGACUGCUAAUACCCUAUAUGAGCUAGGCUGAAAUGCCUAUCUUGAAAGUUCCGGCGCCUUGAGAUGAGUCUGCGUCUGAUUAGCUUGUUGGUGGGGUAAAGGCCUACCAAGGCGACGAUCAGUAGCUGGUUUGAGAGGAUGACCAGCCACAAUGGGACUGAGACCCGGCCCAUACUCCUACGGGAGGCAGCAGUAGGGAAUAUUGCACAAUGGGGGAAACCCUGAUGCAGCGACGCCGCGUGAGCGAUGAAGUAUUUCGGUAUGUAAAGCUCUAUCAGCAGGGAAGAAAAUGACGGUACCUGACUAAGAAGCACCGGCUAAAUACGUGCCAGCCGCCGCCGUAA